GAGUGGCGGACGGGUGAGUAAUGUCUGGGAAACUGCCUGAUGGAGGGGGAUAACUACUGGAAACGGUAGCUAAUACCGCAUAACGUCGCAAGACCAAAGAGGGGGACCUUCGGGCCUCUUGCCAUCGGAUGUGCCCAGAUGGGAUUAGCUUGUUGGUGGGGUAACGGCUCACCUAGGCGACGAUCCCUAGCUGGUCUGAGAGGAUGACCAGCCACACUGGAACUGAGACACGGUCCAGACUCCUACGGGAGGCAGCAGUGGGGAAUAUUGCACAAUGGGCGCAAGCCUGAUGCAGCCAUGCCGCGUGUAUGAAGAAGGCCUUCGGGUUGUAAAGUACUUUCAGCGGGGAGGAAGGGAGUAAAGUUAAUACCUUUGCUCAUUGACGUUACCCGCAGAAGAAGCACCGGCUAACUCCGUGCCAGCAGCCGCGGUAAUACGGAGGGUGCAAGCGUUAAUCGGAAUU
RNAcentral lists this ribosomal RNA (463 nucleotides) under Shigella flexneri. Its description in RNAcentral is "bacterial SSU rRNA". It matches the Rfam family "Bacterial small subunit ribosomal RNA", at positions 93 to 552 of the family's 1533-position model. The record is from RNAcentral. Lineage: Bacteria; Pseudomonadati; Pseudomonadota; Gammaproteobacteria; Enterobacterales; Enterobacteriaceae.